GGCCCUGUGGUGAAAUCACGUCGGAUUGCAAAUCCGAAGAAGCGGGUAACGCCCGCCGGGGCUU
RNAcentral lists this transfer RNA (64 nucleotides) under Oreolalax schmidti (webless toothed toad). RNAcentral describes it as "tRNA-Cys". It matches the Rfam family "tRNA". From Rfam's summary of the family: Transfer RNA (tRNA) molecules are approximately 80 nucleotides in length. Their secondary structure includes four short double-helical elements and three loops (D, anti-codon, and T loops). The record is from RNAcentral. Lineage: Eukaryota; Metazoa; Chordata; Amphibia; Anura; Megophryidae.